Molecule: ribosomal RNA, 440 nt
Filed under: uncultured bacterium
Lineage: Bacteria
Description: partial 16S ribosomal RNA
Rfam family: Bacterial small subunit ribosomal RNA
Source: RNAcentral
CCUACGGGUGGCAGCAGUGGGGAAUAUUGCACAAUGGGGGAAACCCUGAUGCAGCGACGCCGCGUGAGUGAAGAAGUAUCUCGGUGUGUAAAGCUCUAUCAGCAGGGGAGAAAAUGACGGUACCUUACUAAGAAGCCCCUGCCAACUACGUGCCAGCAGCCGCGGUAAUACGGAGGGGGCAAGCGUUAUCCGGGUUUACUGGGUGUAAAGGGAGCGUAGGCGGCAGUGCAAGUCCGGAGUGAAAUCCCAGGGCUUAACCCCGGUACUGCUUUGGAAACUGUGGAGCUUGAGUGCGGGAGGGGUAGGCGGAAUGCCUGGUGUAGCGGUGAAAUGCGUAGAUAUUAGGCGGAACACCGGUGGCGAAGGCGGCAUACUGGACCGUAACUGACGUUGAGGCUCGAAAGCGUGGGGAGCAAACAGGAUUAGAUACCCGAGUAGUC